AUUGAACGCUGGCGGCAGGCCUAACACAUGCAAGUCGAACGCGUGGCGGACGGGUGAGUAAUGUCUGGGAAACUGCCCGAGGGAGGGGGAUAAGUACCGGAAACUGUAGCUAAUACCGCAUUCCAGAGGAUGUGCCCAAAUGGGAAUGGCUAGUAGGUGGGGUAACGGCUCACCUGGGUGACGAUCCGUAGCUGGUCUGAGAGGAUGACCAGCCCCACUGGAACUGAUCCCCUGUCCAGACUCCUACGGGAGGCAGCGGUGGGGAAUAUUGCACAAUGGGCGCAAGCCGGAUGCAUCCAUGCCGCGUGUAUGAAGGAGGCCUUCGGGUUGUAAAGUACUUUCAGCUAGGAGGCGUUACUCGCAGAAGAAGCACCGGCUAACUCCGUGCCAGCAGCCGCGGUAAUUC
This 406-nucleotide ribosomal RNA is filed under the name uncultured bacterium. Its description in RNAcentral is "partial 16S ribosomal RNA". It matches the Rfam family "Bacterial small subunit ribosomal RNA", at positions 30 to 526 of the family's 1533-position model. The record is from RNAcentral.